UAGGGAAUCUUCCACAAUGGACGAAAGUCUGAUGGAGCAACGCCGCGUGAGUGAAGAAGGUUUUCGGAUCGUAAAGCUCUGUUGUUGGUGAAGAAGGAUAGAGGCAGUAACUGGUUCUUAUUUGACGGUAAUCAACCAGAAAGUCACGGCUAACUACGUGCCA
RNAcentral lists this ribosomal RNA (163 nucleotides) under uncultured bacterium. RNAcentral's name for it is "partial 16S rRNA". It matches the Rfam family "Bacterial small subunit ribosomal RNA", at positions 355 to 510 of the family's 1533-position model. The record is from RNAcentral.